This 496-nucleotide ribosomal RNA is filed under the name uncultured bacterium. RNAcentral's name for it is "partial 16S ribosomal RNA". It matches the Rfam family "Bacterial small subunit ribosomal RNA", at positions 28 to 506 of the family's 1533-position model. The record is from RNAcentral.
GAUGAACGCUGGCGGCGUGCCUAAUACAUGCAAGUCGAGCGAACAGACGAGGAGCUUGCUCCUCUGACGUUAGCGGCGGACGGGUGAGUAACACGUGGAUAACCUACCUAUAAGACUGGGAUAACUUCGGGAAACCGGAGCUAAUACCGGAUAAUAUAUUGAACCGCAUGGUUCAAUAGUGAAAGACGGUUUUGCUGUCACUUAUAGAUGGAUCCGCGCCGCAUUAGCUAGUUGGUAAGGUAACGGCUUACCAAGGCAACGAUGCGUAGCCGACCUGAGAGGGUGAUCGGCCACACUGGAACUGAGACACGGUCCAGACUCCGACGGGAGGCAGCAGUAGGGAAUCUGCCGCAAUGGGCGAAAGCCUGACGGAGCAACGCCGCGUGAGUGAUGAAGGUCUUCGGAUCGUAAAACUCUGUUAUUAGGGAAGAACAAAUGUGUAAGUAACUAUGCACGUCUUGACGGUACCUAAUCAGAAAGCCACGGCUAACUACGG